This 232-nucleotide long non-coding RNA is filed under the name Ananas comosus (pineapple). RNAcentral describes it as "long non-coding RNA (ACOM_LNC034636)". Lineage: Eukaryota; Viridiplantae; Streptophyta; Magnoliopsida; Poales; Bromeliaceae. The record is from RNAcentral.
CCCAGCCUGCGACACCAGUGAAGAGAGCCGAAAAUCGGCUAAGUCCCAAGAGUUUAGCUCUCGGGAACCGGUCUCUCUGAGAGGAACCGGUCUCCAGAGGACCGGUCUCUCAGGGAGGGACCGGUUCCCGAACGCGUGUCCGCGGGGGGAGGCCCCGGGGACCGGUCCCUGGUCGGGGAGACCGGUCCCUCCGCGCGCAGAACGCCUAGUAAGGGCUGUGUAAGAGACGAAA